Molecule: ribosomal RNA, 1342 nt
Filed under: uncultured bacterium
Lineage: Bacteria
Description: 16S ribosomal RNA
Rfam family: Bacterial small subunit ribosomal RNA
Source: RNAcentral
GACGAACGCUGGCGGCGUGCUUAACACAUGCAAGUCGAACGGAAAGGCCCUGCUUUUGUGGGGUGCUCGAGUGGCGAACGGGUGAGUAACACGUGAGUAACCUGCCCUUGACUUUGGGAUAACUUCAGGAAACUGGGGCUAAUACCGGAUAGGAGCUCCUGCUGCAUGGUGGGGGUUGGAAAGUUUCGGCGGUUGGGGAUGGACUCGCGGCUUAUCAGCUUGUUGGUGGGGUAGUGGCUUACCAAGGCUUUGACGGGUAGCCGGCCUGAGAGGGUGACCGGCCACAUUGGGACUGAGAUACGGCCCAGACUCCUACGGGAGGCAGCAGUGGGGAAUAUUGCACAAUGGGCGGAAGCCUGAUGCAGCAACGCCGCGUGCGGGAUGACGGCCUUCGGGUUGUAAACCGCUUUCGCCUGUGACGAAGCGUGAGUGACGGUAAUGGGUAAAGAAGCACCGGCUAACUACGUGCCAGCAGCCGCGGUGAUACGUAGGGUGCGAGCGUUGUCCGGAUUUAUUGGGCGUAAAGGGCUCGUAGGUGGUUGAUCGCGUCGGAAGUGUAAUCUUGGGGCUUAACCCUGAGCGUGCUUUCGAUACGGGUUGACUUGAGGAAGGUAGGGGAGAAUGGAAUUCCUGGUGGAGCGGUGGAAUGCGCAGAUAUCAGGGGGAACACCAGUGGCGAAGGCGGUUCUCUGGGCCUUUCCUGACGCUGAGGAGCGAAAGCGUGGGGAGCGAACAGGCUUAGAUACCCUGGUAGUCCACGCUGUAAACGGUGGGUACUAGGUGUGGGGUCCAUUCCACGGGUUCCGUGCCGUAGCUAACGCUUUAAGUACCCCGCCUGGGGAGUACGGCCGCAAGGCUAAAACUCAAAGGAAUUGACGGGGCCCCGCACAAGCGGCGGAGCAUGCGGAUUAAUUCGAUGCAACGCGUAGAACCUUACCUGGGUUUGACAUGGAUCGGGAGUGCUCAGAGAUGGGUGUGCCUCUUUUGGGGUCGGUUCACAGUGGUGCAUGCCUGUCGUCAGCUCGUGUCGUGAGAUGUUGGGUUAAGUCCCGCAACGAGCGCAACCCUUGUUCACUGUUGCCAGCACGUUAUGGUGGGGACUCAGUGGAGACCGCCGGGGUCAACUCGGAGGAAGGUGGGGAUGACGUCAAGUCCUCAUGCCCCUUAUGUCCAGGGCUUCACGCAUGCUACAAUGGCUGGUACAGAGAGUGGCGAGCCUGUGAGGGUGAGCGAAUCUCGGAAAGCCGGUCUCAGUUCGGAUUGGGGUCUGCAACUCGACCUCAUGAAGUCGGAGUCGCUAGUAAUCGCAGAUCAGCAACGCUGCGGUGAAUACGUUCCCGGG